RNAcentral lists this unclassified non-coding RNA (337 nucleotides) under soil metagenome. RNAcentral's name for it is "partial contains 5.8S ribosomal RNA, internal transcribed spacer 2, and large subunit ribosomal RNA". The stretch from base 1 to 120 matches the Rfam family "5.8S ribosomal RNA", at positions 35 to 154 of the family's 154-position model. The record is from RNAcentral.
GAUGAAGAACGUAGCGAAAUGCGAUAAGUAGUGUGAAUUGCAGAAUUCAGUGAAUCAUCGAAUCUUUGAACGCACAUUGCGCCCCUUGGUAUUCCAUGGGGCAUGCCUGUUCGAGCGUCAUCUACACCCUCAAGCUCUGCUUGGUGUUGGGCGUCUGUCCCGCCCCCGCGCGUGGACUCGCCCCAAAUCCAUUGGCAGCGUUCCUUGCCCCCUCUCGCGCAGCACAUUGCGCUUCUCGAGGGCGGCUCCGGGACGCGAUCCAGCAAGAUGACCACCGUCUUUGACCUCGGAUCAGGUAGGGAUACCCGCUGAACUUAAGCAUAUCAAAAGCGGAGGA